Molecule: ribosomal RNA, 253 nt
Filed under: uncultured bacterium
Lineage: Bacteria
Description: partial 16S ribosomal RNA
Rfam family: Bacterial small subunit ribosomal RNA
Source: RNAcentral
UACAGAGGUCCCAAGCGUUGUUCGGAUUUACUGGGCGUAAAGGGAGCGUAGGUGGCAUUCUAAGUCUGAUGUGAAAGCUCUGAGCUUAACUCAGAAAUGGCAUUAGAAACUAGUUUGCUUGAGGAUUGGAGGGGAGAUUGGAAUACUUGGUGUAGCAGUGAAAUGCGUAGAUAUCAAGUGGAACACCAGUGGCGAAGGCGAAUCUCUGGACAAUUCCUGACACUGAUGCUCGAAAGCUAGGGGAGCAAACGGG